This is a long non-coding RNA of Triticum aestivum (bread wheat), 487 nucleotides long. RefSeq lists it as uncharacterized. The record is from RefSeq and is a predicted model, not a curated record. NCBI's taxonomy places the organism in Eukaryota, Viridiplantae, Streptophyta, Magnoliopsida, Poales, Poaceae. The transcript is spliced from 3 exons.
CCGGACGUCAGCCCAGUUGCUCCGCUCGGGGCGCAUCGAUCAACAAGCGCCGCCGCCGCCUCGCCGACGAACGGACGCGAAGAGGCGAGCCCUCCACGCCGCCGGCGGCACCAGCGAGUCUCGGCAUCAGGUUGUUUGGUCUUGCUCGUGUUCAUGGUGCUGGAAAUUCCCGAUUUCGUUAACCGAUGAAGUGGGCAUGACUACUGAACAUGGUCUGUACAAAGUGGGGAUUGCAAGCUCUAAACGUUCGAAUGUUUGCAUAAGGCCUUCUCUGAGGAGUUUGGGAGCGCACUGUUGCUCUUUUAUGCCCAUGAUGCUGAAGCUGAACACAGUAACUAUGCAUGUGGCUAUCAUAACUAAAGACAAAUUAUGUUGUUAUACAUGCUGUAGUGGUUCUCAUUGAAGUUUAUCAUCGUCUUCCUGCCCUUCUCCUCAACAAUCCAAGCGAGACUUCGGGUCAUCAUGUUUUCUGACCAGCAACAGUGGU